AACCAUCAUAGAAAAUUCUCACCCUUUGAUCUUUUAUGUUUUUUUCUUUAAUAACCAUACGUCAGCUUCCAUGUGCCUUCUUUGUGUGUUUGUGUAACUAAGUGUGAGAGAGAGAGAGAGAGCUUAUCAAUUAUAAGAACCAUUACCUGGAACUCACGAACUUUAAAUGUGGGACUAAGAAUAGCACAUUCUAAAGCACAUCCUUUGGCAACACUUUCACUGGCAUUCAUUGUACGCCUGGGCUCCUUCCCAAAAAACUCGGUCAAUAUCUUCAUAAUAGCAGGAACUCGAGAGCCUGAACCAACAACUUCAACUGUAUGAAUAUUCUCAACAGUAAGUCCAGCUUCUGCAAGAGCUUUCUCCAAUGGUUUCUUAACACGCUCCAAUAUUGGAACACUAAUUUGCUCAAAUUCCUCUCUCUUAAUAUGACCUCUGACAUCCUUCUCAUCCAUCAAGCACUCAAUGUUCAAAGGUGCCUCGGGAUUUGCACUGAGAACCUUUUUCAACUUCUCACAAGCUGCACGAAGCCUGAGGCAAGCCCUGGCAUUCUGGAAGACAUCAAUCUUGUAUUCCUCCUGGAACUUUGCAGCAAAGUGUUGGAAAAGAACUUCAUCAAAAUCCCUUCCACCAAGGGACCUGUCAAAAGAAUGGGCCAAUAUUUUCAGCUGACCUUUCUUUAGAGCAGCAAUACAAACUUGCAUACUUCCAUGCCCAACAUCAACAAAAGCAACAUGUAACGGGUCAUUCUCAGGUAAGUCAGUCUUGUAAAUACCAUAAGCUAAAGCCGUAGCAGUAGUCUCAUGAAUAAGUCUGAGAGGGUGCAAUCCAGCUAUUGUUGCAGCAUCUAUGACAGCUCUCCUCUGAAGGUCUGUGAAAUAAACGGGUAUACCAAUGCAGCAAUCUACAACCGCUGCUUUCAAAUUCUUUUCAGCAAUACUCUUCAAAUCGGAAAGAACCAUUCCCAAGACCUGGGUAGGUGUAAAAGUCCUCAUUUCUCCCAAAUAACGUGCAUGAAUCAAAGGAUAUCCAUCAGGCCCUUCGGUCACAGAAAAGGGUAAGGCUUUGAGAUCCUGCUGCAGCUCAGGAUCUGAAUACUGGCGUCCAAUCAACCUCUUUAUUUGGGAUAUUGUAUUUUUGGGAUUCAUCAUGCUCGAUGCAGCUCCUGCUGUUCCAAGGAAUCUCUGUUUGUCACCAAAGCAUACGACAGCAGGAGUCUCACGCUUGGACUCAUCAUUAAGAACGACGUCAAUACCUCUUUGCCUUGCAACAGCAACCACACAGCUCUCAUUCCCAAAGUCAAAACCCACCACACUCAUGUUUACUAGACUGGACAAAGUUGCAGCAGCGAGUGCCUCAAAUUCAAAAAAACCAAAUGACCUGAUGAACAUAAAGUCACAUUUAACAUUCAUCAAACUCAUCCACAUCCAGUUAUCUUUUCUAUUU
This 1443-nucleotide long non-coding RNA is filed under the name Olea europaea subsp. europaea. Lineage: Eukaryota; Viridiplantae; Streptophyta; Magnoliopsida; Lamiales; Oleaceae. The record is from RNAcentral.